This 497-nucleotide ribosomal RNA is filed under the name uncultured Desulfobulbus sp. RNAcentral describes it as "bacterial SSU rRNA". It matches the Rfam family "Bacterial small subunit ribosomal RNA", at positions 891 to 1382 of the family's 1533-position model. The record is from RNAcentral. Lineage: Bacteria; Pseudomonadati; Thermodesulfobacteriota; Desulfobulbia; Desulfobulbales; Desulfobulbaceae.
GCUCAGAAACUCAAAGGAAUUGACGGGGCCCGCGACAAGCGGUGGAGUAUGUGGUUUAAUUCGAUGCAACGCGAAGAACCUUACCUGGUCUUGACAUCCCGGAGACCCUUAGGAAACUAGGGGGUGCUUCCAUCUGGAAGAAUCUGGAGACAGGUGCUGCAUGGCUGUCGUCAGCUCGUGUCGUGAGAUGUUGGGUUAAGUCCCGCAACGAGCGCAACCCUUGCCUUUAGUUGCCAGCAGUUCGGCUGGGCACUCUAAAGGGACUGCCGGUGUUAAACCGGAGGAAGGUGGGGAUGACGUCAAGUCCUCAUGGCCUUUAUGACCAGGGCUACACACGUACUACAAUGGCCGAUACAAAGGGCAGCGACACUGCGAGGUGAAGCCAAUCCCGUAAAAUCGGUCUCAGUCCGGAUUGGAGUCUGCAACUCGACUCCAUGAAGUUGGAAUCGCUAGUAAUCGUGGAUCAGCAUGCCACGGUGAAUACGUUCCCGGGCCUU